Molecule: long non-coding RNA, 4648 nt
Organism: Aphis gossypii (cotton aphid)
Lineage: Eukaryota; Metazoa; Arthropoda; Insecta; Hemiptera; Aphididae
Exons: 3
Source: RefSeq, a predicted model, not a curated record
GACGGUCGUUCCGAAUACCCCUAACCUCACAAUCAUGUUCACAUAGUAAUAUUCCCUCCUAAUAUGAAGGUAUCAUAAAACGAUUCACCGCGAGAUUACCGGUUUCCUUUGUCUGUGACUACCGGCGUGGCGGCGUGGUGACCUUCAAUCUUGUUCUCGGCCUUUCACUCGCUCAGUCUAUACGCGUUACACGUUCGUGCAUUAAUAUUUUAUACUUACCACAUUCUCGACAGUCGACAAGCUGCGAUGACGUUCCACAGUUGUGGUGUUGGUUAGAUUAUUUGAUCACUUUUGUUUUUUUUUUCACUAUCCGCACAGAAUUGGAUUUGAUUAAUCAAAUUUUUGGACGAUCAACCUCGUUCACUGCCACUAACGAUAAUGCAAAAAACGCAGAGAACCAAUACCUUCAACAACAUGUAAGCUAUUAGCUAACACCUACGAACCGUACGUGCCGCCGACUGUAAAACUAUCGGCCCUUACGCCCAGUGUGUUGAAAUCUAUAGUUAGCGUGAGGUAUCGCUCGUAGAGGAGAAAUACAGAAAAUACGGUAAAGAUGCCGAUAUUUUUUAUAGUUUAAUUAAAAAUUAUUUGAACUAAGAAUAUUUUUCUAAUAAAAAAAACAUUUAGAAAUAUUUCAUCUGCAUUCAUAUUAUUUCAAAAUCCACAUUAUUACAGUUGCUCAUACGUGGCAUGUUACAAAAUUGGCGCAGUCAGUAGGAUUCUUUUCAUUUAAGAAUUCUCCAGUCGAAAUAUUUUAUUUUUACGGACUUUGAAAAUUUUUUCUCCCUUACGAAAAAUAAAAUCAAUCGACUUCGAAAAAUUCACGGAGGCAAUGAACCACUGUUGAAGGGAACACUUGAUCACUGUCAACUUCAGCGACUCCAAAGAAAAAGAAUCAACUCGUAGCACCACGGCUUAGCAAUCAGAAAGUAUGGAUGAAGCAAAUCAAACCAUCUUUGUGUAAAGAUGCCGCAGAUCUAUCUAUACCGAAACCAUUGGUGCUAUACAACAGCGACGACAGUGAUGAUGUCAGUGACAAAGACGCACUUCCUUCGAAAUCUCACAAAAUUGUGCGAAACCUAACCGACACCGACACUGUUUCAUCGACGGUACUAACGAUGACGAUGACACCCAUCGCGGCUAUGGAAAUUGACAAUCCGAACACUGAAAACAUCGUAAUACCUCGGUAAAAAAUGUAUACCAUCAUCAAACGCAAUGAAUCGAACAGCAGCUCGCACCAAAAGUCUUCGGAAAAAUGUGUAAAUAUUUUUAGUACCUAUCUAUGUAAUAAGUAGUAAUGGUGAUAGUGUUCACCCUAAUUUUAAUUUUAAAAAACCCAUUCGUAGUAAAGAACUUAAAAAAAAUAACUUAUAUCGCCGAUACAGACAACGACCGUGACGCUUGUAACAGUGUAGUUGGUAGUGAUGGUAAGUGCAGUAUUAUUAUAUUCUGUGGUGCAGUAGUGAGAGUAGAGCUAGUAGUAAGAGUAGUGGGGAAUAUGAUUAGGACGAAAAUGAAAUAUUCAAACCUAGGUAAUCUUGUAAUAAUUGUAUUUCGCAUAUUGCUCUUGUAUUUCUAGGAUGUAAAGGAUUAAUUUCAGGACAUAAAAGGAAAUUAUGAGCUGAUUUACAUGCUGAGUAGUGAAAUUGGUCAUAAGUUGUAUACAAUUCUUUUGUUUUGUUAAUUGCUAAAAAGUUAUAACUAGGUUUAAUAUAAAUACAGUUUGUUAGUUUACAUACAGAUUUAGGUAUUAAAUGAUAAAAUGUUAGUUAAUUUUGAUAUACUAAAGGUAAAGUAAUAAUAAACACAAUUCUGUUAUCGGAACAAUAUACUGUCAAAUCUGAGAGUCUGAGUAAUUCGUAAGCGUUUACUAGGUCAAGUUCGAUUGGUAGUUUCGUUCCUGAUAUUAAAGAUACUUUGAUGUCCCUUAGUUGUUCUAAAAGGUCGUUUGGUGGUAACAAACUUGGGUGCAUUUGUCCUACUCUAGCCAUUUGAAUUGUUUCCAAAAGGGUAUUAGUCUCAUAAAUAUAUUUAGUAAGUACUAAGUUAACGAAACUAAAACGAAUCGAAAGGUAAUUUUUCAUAAACUGGUUAAUAGUAUUAUUUUUAAAGUCGUCUAACGUUAUCUCUACUUUUUUAUUUUUAAAUCCUCCUGAUCUUGAUUUAAACGAAUAAUUUUUAUUUCUUCCUCGAUAAGUUUGAUUUGGUUAUCGUUAGUACCCAUAAAUCGAUUAAUAAUUGUGUUAAAUUUGUUCAUACAUUCUGCGUUGCAUAACCCGAACAAGAAUCGCGCCGUUUUGCUUAUUUUAUCAACGAUGCUACGUCUGUUUUAAGUUUUAAAACCUAUUAAAGAAAAGACUAGAUUUUUUUUUAUGUUUCAUCUCGUUAAAAAGUUUUAAAGUAACUGGUAAAAAGUCUCCACUGUGGUUAUCUACGUUAUUUUUAAUUGAUGCACACAUUACUUCAGUGUCAUUUAUUAAUUGGUCAAUUUUCCCCCAACGUUGUUCAUAUGUUGUCAUGUUAACGUAUGCGGUAAGUUCCCAAGUAGUGGUUACUAUUUUAAUUUGUCUUCGAUUUUCGUAAUAGAUACCCAUUUGUUGUGAGAGUUUGUCGUCAGUAAAUCGUUGAGUGUUCACUCCGACAUAAAAAAAUGUCAGUGGAAAUAAAAUCCUGGAACAAUGUAAUGCGUUAAGAAAAUGUUUUACCAUUCUUCUGCUAAAUGAUUAAUUAAGUUAUUGUGUUUAAUACGUCGUAUAAGUUUGUCGAAAAUACAUUUUUUUUAAAUUACAUCGGUACGUGGGUCAUGUAAUCCUAAGGAAGAUUCGUGUUGUGCACCGCCUAUUAGCGUAUGCGUUUCGUUUAAAUUGAGUUGUCUACCCGGUUUGUCUAAUGUGCCUGCAGGCGAUUCAUGAAUUAUAGUUUUAUCCCGCUCGUCGAUUAAACGUAUCACGUAGUUAUUGUCUAAAUGAACAUCGUAAGUUGUUAUGUUAAGUAGAAUGUACUCAAUGUUAAGUUUGUUUAAUAUUUUCUUAUCAGUCUCACCGUUCCACGUAAAGAAUAUUGGCUUCGUUUUAUUUCUAUUAAUGUAUGUGUUGAUGUAAUCGGCGUUUAAUGUGUUAUUAAACGCAUGCAUACUGUCGUAUAGUUGCUCUAAAGUAACAUACAUUAGCUGUUGGUUUUUAUCUUUAAAAAUCCGAACAACAGAUUCCACCGUUUUUCUGAAUUGGUCGUGGUCGAAUUUAAUUAUUUGGGAGUCCCUAGUGAAUACUAGCGGUUCUCCUUCUAAUUUCUUAACCUUGAAACGUUCUAGACAAUUUGAAAUUGCCCCGGAGAUUAUUACUAAAUUUGUCCGAUUUGUGUUUGUAAAUUCGAAGUCGAUGAUGAAAAAAUUAAAGGUCGGUUGUCUAAAAUGCAAAAAUAAAAUAGGUUAUAAAGUUGUUUCGAAGUAUUUCUUCGUAUUAUUUUUAUGGAUAACUAUUGUUAUUGUUUUAUAUUAUAUUUUUAAAAGUGUUUUACUAGAUUCUCAUACCUUUGUUUUCGUAUCACAUAAUCAAAUAUACAUUUGGUAUACUUGACAUCCAUUCUCGGAUCAUGCACAUACGUAGUAUGGUGUUUCUUUUUACAUAUUACCUCAUGGGUCUCUACUAAAUUAAGUAGCCUUCCUGAUUUAUUAUAUGUCCCGAUAUUUACUUCAAAAAUUAUUUCCCUAUUACUUAAUUUUUCUAAUUGAAUAUAAAAGUUUUUGUUGAAAUACUUGUCGUAACACGUUAUGUUCAGCAUGGGAUAAUGGUCUAAGUCUAAUCUCUAUUAUUAAAUAAUAAAAAAUAUACCCAUUUCCAUAAAAAAAAAAUGCCAAUAUAAGCUGAGUUAGCUUAAUAAAAUAAUGAAUAAGUGUAUUAUAUAAAAGAAAAUUAACCAAUGAUGGCGUCAUCUAUUUGGACACUAUAUCUAAGUCGUAGAUAUCUAAACAGGCAUCCAGACCAAAUUACAUCGGUUACGGGGUUAUGUGCUUCUAUACACCCAUGAUCCCCUCCACAAGUUAGACCGUGUGCUUCUGUUAGACACAGCGCACGACCGUUUUUUGCUAUAUCCCCGAUAUAAUGUGAAACUAUUAUUGUUUUUCCGUACAGUAGUUGUAAGAAAAAUUUUCCGUUGGAGUCAACGUCCCAUCCUCUCAUUGAAAGAGCGAUGUGCGGUGCCCCUAAAGCGUCCAGUAUUUUGAUGUCUGUACUACCCUCCCAUAGUACGAUUACAUCGUAAUUUUUUAUUAAGUUAAGAAUUUGUUUUUUAGUUAAGUUAGCUUUAGUUGAGUGGUCCGAGUCAUAUAUCUGGGCAAGUAUUGGAUACAAUGUUUUUGGUUUGUCUUUAAAAAUCCUUACUAAAUGGUGAACCAUGUCUUUCCAUUCUUUUUGCAUAAUUACUCUAUUUUCUUUUAGUAGCAACUCGCGCCCUUCCAGUUUCGUAACUAGACCUGGCGAGUGUCGACCCAUUAAUGCUCCUGAUAUUAGAAUUAAGUUGUCGCGCCCUAGAUUCGUAAACUCGAAAUCCAUGACUGCGUAUUGAAUACUACAAUUCAUUAUCCACACAAAAAAAAAAUACUUAUGUCACAAAAAAAAACAAAACAAAAAAAAAAAUAAUAAAAAUAAAA